This is a long non-coding RNA of Scleropages formosus (Asian bonytongue), 220 nucleotides long. It matches the Rfam family "SOX2 overlapping transcript exon 1". Rfam says of the family: SOX2 overlapping transcript (SOX2OT) is a long non-coding RNA, containing at least 5 exons. The SOX2 gene, an important regulator of neurogenesis, lies within one of the introns of SOX2OT. NCBI's taxonomy places the organism in Eukaryota, Metazoa, Chordata, Actinopteri, Osteoglossiformes, Osteoglossidae. The record is from Rfam.
ACAGCUUGGACAAAAGUCUGCAGCCAGAGCAUUCCUAGCUUCCCUUGCACUCUGGCUGACUGAGGCAGGGGGAAGACAUGCCAGUCUUGUGCUCUGCUCCUCUUUAAAAAGGGCUCUGCUGCAGCUCGCAGGUGAAGCUCCUGCUUCCACCUGUAUGGGCUCUGGGUUUGGGGAAAUCCUUGGAUGUACCUGCACGCCUAGGCCCUAGAAAGUGAGCUUC